CGAAGUCGGAUGCUCAACCGAGUCACCCAGGCACCCCAAGAAUGUGUAUUUUAAAUUUGAAGUUUUAUCGCUUGGGCGUCAGGUGCUUAGGAUGGUCCGGGCGUGAAUUUUACCCCGUUUGCUAAUCACCAUCGCAGAGGCCAGCACGACUCUAAGACCGCCUAUUUAUACGGUGACGGCCUAAGUGAGGGCACAAGGUAAGCCUCCCGGGACGCAAUUAUUCCACAGGACCCGGUGUGCAUUCUAAGUGGGAAACGAGGACACGUCACCUCCGAUUCAUUCAAGGCAGAGCAGGAUAGUUUCCAAUUCUGGAUUCGAGAGAAAAAUGAUGUUCUCGCUCUGGUUCUUGGCAGAAAAUAAAGUGGAUGAAGACCUUGA
Long non-coding RNA from Felis catus (domestic cat), 378 nucleotides. RefSeq lists it as uncharacterized. Lineage: Eukaryota; Metazoa; Chordata; Mammalia; Carnivora; Felidae. The record is from RefSeq and is a predicted model, not a curated record. The transcript has 2 exons.